AGGUGGCAACUGUCAAGCCCACGAAACUGUGUAGGAAACAUUAACUCUGCAGUCAGAGAUAAUGUGAUGACACCAUUGUUACUUCUCUAGACAUUCAGGUUUUGAUGGGAAGCCUUGUGUACCUGAGACAAGGGAUUGAGAACUCGCCAUAUGUUCACCUACUUGAUGCAAACCAGUGGGCUGAUAUCUGUGACAUCUUUACACGGGAUGCUUGUGCCCUCCUGGGGCUCUCCGUGGAGUCCCCUCUCAGUGUCAGUUUCUCAGCAGGUUGUGUGGCGCUGCCAGCUUUAAUUAACAUCAAAGCCGUGAUUGAACAGAGGCAGUGUACUGGAGUUUGGAACCAGAAAGAUGAAUUACCUAUUGAAGUGGACCUUGGUAAAAAGUGCUGGUAUCACUCUAUAUUUGCCUGCCCCAUUCUUCGUCAGCAAACAACAGAUAACAAUCCACCCAUGAAAUUGGUCUGUGGUCAUAUUAUAUCAAGAGAUGCCCUGAAUAAAAUGUUUAAUGGUAGCAAAUUAAAAUGUCCCUACUGUCCAAUGGAACAAAGUCCAGGAGAUGCCAAACAGAUAUUUUUCUGAAGAGAUAACUUUAG
Molecule: small RNA, 592 nt
Filed under: Pan troglodytes (chimpanzee)
Lineage: Eukaryota; Metazoa; Chordata; Mammalia; Primates; Hominidae
Description: processed transcript
Source: RNAcentral